Molecule: ribosomal RNA, 253 nt
Filed under: uncultured bacterium
Lineage: Bacteria
Description: partial 16S ribosomal RNA
Rfam family: Bacterial small subunit ribosomal RNA
Source: RNAcentral
UACGUAGGGUGCAAGCGUUAAUCGGAAUUACUGGGCGUAAAGCGUGCGCAGGCGGCUAUGCAAGACAGAUGUGAAAUCCCCGGGCUUAACCUGGGAACUGCAUUUGUGACUGCAUGGCUAGAGUACGGUAGAGGGGGAUGGAAUUCCGCGUGUAGCAGUGAAAUGCGUAGAUAUGCGGAGGAACACCGAUGGCGAAGGCAAUCCCCUGGACCUGUACUGACGCUCAUGCACGACAGCGUGGGGAUCAAACAGG